UUGCCACUAAUUAUACGCAUCUUUGCCAAUAAUGGUACGCAACUUUAGCAAUUGUAGAAGGGUGUAUUCUUAAUUGUUGUGUCCUUUUUAUUGGGUUAUUGACGAUUUGCCAUAAUCUCGGUUAUCUCUAUCGAACGCGAUGAGGGUACUUGAUACCUCCCACUGCACAGACACCGAGUAAUUCUAUCCUCAAGUUUGGACAGAUGGGAAGAAAUUCCCUAGUGUUUUUGCCUAUACUAGAGAUGGAUUUUAUCUUGAAGACUAAAUCGAAAAGCCCUUUCAACCAGAAUUAUUUUCGUUAGGAGUAAUGGCUACUUCUUUAGAUCAAUUGAGGGAGUUUUUCGCAUGGUACAAUGGACUGGAAAAAUAUUGGUGACUGAUUUGGCUUUUAUUUGACAUGAUCUAUAAUUUUUUAUCGAGGUUUAUUGAGGAUUUUUUACAUAGCAGGACAUUUAUUUGUUAGUUGUAUGCAGUACUGUGGUGGAAAAUACUACUGAAGCUGUGUGAAUGCUCCAUCAUUUUGCCACAAAUAGGGUAAUAUUCAUGAUUUAGAAACACAUUUUAUGAUUGAUAUAUGGUAAUAUAAUAGAAGGCAAAGUUUAAGGUCCCGAUGUCAUAUUAAGAGAUCCAAGUCAUACUUAUUAUGCUCUAGCAUUAAUAUUAUAAUGUAGCAUGAAGAGUGUAUGAAGCAUAAUUUGAGAAUAAAAUGGGUAGUUUGACUUAAUCACAUCGGCCUUAGUCUAUCUUGUCCAAUCUCUCUAAUAGAGGAGAAAGAACUGUUGUUCUUAGAGAUAAAAACUACAAAUGAGAGAAGGCUUGAAACUUUCAAAUUUAUAAUUAAAAAGUGUUGUUGUUCUUACAGUCACACACUACAAACAAGAGAGGACUUAAAGCUUUCCUAUUCAUAAUUAACUAAUAAAAUUUGUGCAAUCUUUUAUCUAAUACUACCAUUCGAUUUGUUUAAAGUUCUGAUAAAUUUGUAAUUAUGCACUCUAUUAUUUUUGGUCCCCGAAUUGGUUGAAUCAAUGAAGGCUAUUGCUAAGAUGGAUGUCGAAUUGACAGUUGAGGAGAGGAAUUUGGUGUCAGUUAGGUAUAAAAAUGUAUUGGAGAAGAAAGGCUUCAUGGCGGAUAUUGUCUUUGAUUGAACAAAAGGAGGAGAGUAAGGGCCAUGAGCAGUGUUAAGAUAAUUAAGACUUACAGAAAGAGGGUUGAAUAUGAGCUUACGAAUAUAUGUAGUGACAUUUUGUCAGUGAUAGAUGAGCACCUUAUUCUUUGUUCCACUACCGGAGAAUCUACUGUGUUCUACUAUUAGAUGUGAGUUGCUGAUUUUUUCACUUGCUCUCUUUUCUUAUAUUUUCUCCCAUCUUUUUAUCUUGUUCUUCUAUUUUGGCAUGGCUCAUUAUUUGUGAAGGAGAUAAACACACAGUUGCUUUCUGAGUGACCCCGUUUUAGAUUACUGAAGUUAGUUGACUUUGUUUCUUUUGGUCCUUGAAAAUGAUUGAUGAACUUACAAAUUUACCUACUUUUACUUCACCACUAGGAAGGAAGAUUACUAACAUUAUUUAGCAGAUUUCAAAGCAGGGGAUGAUCUUAAUGAGGCUGCUGAUAGUCACUCAAAGCUUAUGAAGUUUCUUUUGUUCAAUACCUUCAGUUUUGGCUCAAAUGUUCUUCGACAUCUAUAUGAAAGAUCGGCAACAUUUGUUUCCUAUAUUUGUUGUUCAUAUUGCACAUUAUUUUGAAUUUAGUUUGCUUUUUGUCUUAUUUCUUUAUUUAGGUUAUUGCUCUACUUUUGUAGGCCGCUACUGCCAUCGCUAGUUCAGAUCUUGCUCCUGCUCACCCAAUCAGACAUGGACUUGCGUUGAACUUCUUAAUUUUCUACUAUGAGAUUCUGAAUUCACCUGAGAGAUUAGAGAUCAAUCUUAUGGACAAUAGAUAUAAAUGUUAUAACUAGAUGGAAGCUGUUAACUGACUAUUAGCCUUAAAGUAUAACUCUUGUUUCUCACCCGAGGGUGUGGCCUAGUGGUUAAUGAAGUGGGUUGAGAACCAUGAGGUUUUAGGUUCAAAAUCCCAGCAGAAACAAAAACACUAGUUGAUUUCUUCUCAUCUGUGUUACCUGUUACUGUGGGAGGUGGUAGUGAUCCUUUGGAAUUAGUCGAGGUGAGCGAAAGCUGACCCGGACACAAUAGUUAUGUUAAUAAAAAAGUAUACCUCUUGUUUCUUGUUUGUCA
Molecule: long non-coding RNA, 2228 nt
Organism: Capsicum annuum
Lineage: Eukaryota; Viridiplantae; Streptophyta; Magnoliopsida; Solanales; Solanaceae
Exons: 2
Source: RefSeq, a predicted model, not a curated record